Molecule: long non-coding RNA, 5106 nt
Organism: Ailuropoda melanoleuca (giant panda)
Lineage: Eukaryota; Metazoa; Chordata; Mammalia; Carnivora; Ursidae
Exons: 4
Source: RefSeq, a predicted model, not a curated record
AUAGAUUCCACGUACGCAGCUCUACCCUGAGUGAGAUCAGACGACACAUGCUGUUCUGUCACCUGUUUUUUUUCCCCCACUCAGCAAUAUGUCAUGGACAUCCUUCAUAUCAGUACAUGGAGAUCCACCUCUCAGUUUGAACGCCUGCGAUGUGCGUGGAGGUCCUUCACUUUACGGACCCAGUCCCCAGCUGAUGCGUGUUUCUCCAGUCGUUUUGCUUUUGUAAAUAUCCCUGCAGUGAACUUCUGUGUGCACCUAUCGUUGUGAAUUUCAUUCACUCAUUCACUCAUUCCUUCAUUCGUUCAUUCACGCACCAGAUGUUAUCCCGUGCAUUCUACGUGCCAACCCAGGGCCAGGCUAGGGAUCAAAAGGGUGAGUAAAACAACACGGUCGGUCCUUGCUUUUACAGAGUGUAUGAUGUAGUGAGGAGACAGGACAUCCAGCCCCUGCCAGCAGGGAAGACAGCGGCUUUGUGCAAUGAGCUUAUGUCUUAAGCACUUACACAAAUAAUGAUCCAGUAAGCACGUGAUACGGAGUACAAAGGAAAAGUGCUGAAAGCAUGAAUGAAAAGUUCAAGCUGUGAGGGAGUAAGACAAGAGAAGGUAACCUGGACCCGGGAGUCGGGGAGGGCAGUCGGGGAGGGCUUCUCUGAGGUGGUGACGAUGAGGUCAAAAGAUGAAUGGGCAAGGACUGGGUCAGGGGAUGGAGGUGGGAAGGACAGGUGGGUGUGGAGGGGAACAGCGCAAGGGUUUCACUUAGAGGGAGCAGUGGUUUCAACUAUUAACCUGCAGAGGACUCCUAAAAAUGGAAGUGCUGGGUCGGAGGGUAAGCAGAGCCUGUUUCAUGUACACUGCACCGUGCUGUCCGCGAAGGUCUUAGGAGAUUGGUAAGAGCGGGCAAGGAGGGUUAAGCACAGCACUCAUGCACGGGAAGCAAGCCGGUCGCUGCUGUUGCCAUUAUUAUUAUAAUUAUCUUUGCCAAUCUAAUGGGUGAAAAAUGAUAUCUCAUCUUUGUUUUUAACCAAUGUGUCUUUUUUUUUCUUUUUCUUUUUGACUCUGCAGGAAAUGAGCCCUUAGGGGGAAAUGAACUAUCUUUCUUUCUUGAGCCACCUUUGUCAGAACCUUCCUGUGCCCCUCAGAGAGGCAGGAAACGUCUCUCUGUGCCAUCCUCACAGCAGAGCCCCUGGGACUUGGAGAUGACUCCAAACCCCGCGUGGCUCUGGCUUUCCAAAGGCAGGCGCCGCUCGGAGAGGAGGGCGGUUUGGGACCUGUGUCGGAUGGGUGUGUAGCCCGUGGGGAGGGACAGGCAGAGAGGUGGGGGCCCUGCAGGCAGAAUCCACUUGCCAUUAGAAGUGCUUAGAGGUCCCAGGAGCUCCUGGCUGAUGUUUAUGCAGCCAUAUGAAUAUUAACAGAGUAGCCAUUAAUAUUGAUGACAAUAAUAAACAAGUGUGAGGAUUAUAUUUAAAGAGGGCUGCUGCUCCAGCUGUUGCCUCCGUUCAUUAAGAAGGUUCUGAGGUUCUCGGCCUUCCUCUUCCCAGACCUCGUGCAAGACUCAAUGGCAUCCUCAUGACUUCUGCCUGGGCAGGGACUGAGCCAAAAAGGCAUUUCCAACACUUUGGAUUGAAUGAGAAUCAAUGCAGGAAACCCGAGUUUCCGUCCCAGGCGCUCUGGGCCAUGUGAGCGGGUCGGGGGGCAAGAAAGGGCUGAAUCAGCUUGUGUACGGGGAGCCAGCUGUGAAGACACUGCUUCUGACCCUUGCAGGCAUGAGGCCCCUGCCGUCUACACCCCCAGAGGAGCGUGGGCAGGGGGCUUGCAAGGGGCCAAUCUCUUGCAAAGGUGGCUGGAGGAAUUACCCUGCUAAAGUGGUCAUGAAUUAUAGAAGGGGGGGAGGAAGGCCCAGAAUAUCAUAUGUGUAAAUAAACCAGAGUGGCGGGAGACAUAAAAGCCAGCCACCAAGCUCUUGGACCCACCGUGCCCCUUCUCUUGCCGCACUCGUGCCAAGUACCACAGCGAGUCGCUCACAACCUCCUUCUUCAAAGGAUUUGUUAAUAAGUCAAUGACGGAACAUCUAAAGGGGAAAAAUAUUUCUCUUUAUAGUUGGAGAUAAUUGUCCCAGGAAAAAAAAAAAACAACAAACCUUUAAUUACAACUCACAUGGAGAAAGCUUGAUUUGUGGGCAGAGCCCAAAUGCUGAGGAGCUAGAUGUAAAAUAUUUGUAAUAUUUAGGGAACCUAGAGUUUUACAUAAAAGUAAACAGCAUUGCCUGAAGGCACAAUUUCCAGCAACACAAUAAAAUGUGCAGUGAAUUUAUGGCGGCCAUCCAUUAGCUCUUACCAAGGCAACGUCGCCCCUAUCUGUCGUCCAUCAUUAUAAUAGAGGGUUAAUGCACCGAAUUUACAUAAAAAAGUCAUAUUGUCUGCAUGAAUUAUUUACACUCGAAGCUGUUUUUACAGCUUGGUUUCAAGCUGGAUUCUGGGAGAGAUUCUGCCAGUAAAUUACUCUGUGGAGACCUGGUUCUAUAACUGUGCGCGGAGCCAGCAAUGAAAAGAAAGGAAAAUGGGCAGGCCCUGGCGGGUCGUUGGUGCUGACGCCUCUCAGGUGGGGGCUGGAGGCGGUAGUGGAGGCUUCAGGAGGCCGGUGGGCCUUACAGCAGAUGGGGCUUGGUUUCUGGGCCCACAGCCUCACGGUUGCUGCCGGGCUGCCCAAGUGGUCAAAGCCCGUUGGGGCCCGCGGGAGCACAGGGAUCCUUCAGAGGUGGCCGAGGGCUCUUGGUGGCUGAAGUCAGAGGUCUUUAAGGGGUCGGAGUCCUGGAGAGGAAGAGGAUGUGCUGUGUGUUUCGAGUGCAGGGGCCUGGCUCAGCAGUGUAAGCAAGACCCACGGUUCCCAUUGUACAGAUGGGAAGACUGAAACCUCGGGAGACACCUUCUCAAGAAGCAGGAAGCCCAUCCAUUCCAGGUGGGCCCAGGGAAUGUGGGACAUACAGACACUUCAGACUUGGGGGCAGAGUCGGGUGGUGAUGGGGCGUCUGUGGGAGGACACACAGAGGCCCCAUGCCUCCCAACUCAGCGGUUAUGUUUCGACAACUUUUAGUGAGUUGAAGGCAGUUUCAGGGCGUGGUCUGGGGAUGAGGUGUUUUUUUGGCACCGAGUUCUUAAAUUCUCUUUGCUUUGGGGUCUGGGCACUGGAGAACUCCUUAUGCUUCCAGGUGGCGUGGAGUUAGGGAGGCUGGUCACACAAUGGAAACACACCUGGAUUUUUAAUUCCAUGCCUGCUGCGUGGUAUUGAGCAAGACUCUUAGUUUCUGGGGGCUCAGUUUCCUCAUCUGUACAGUGGGAUUCCCAGUCCCGGCUCUCUCAGCCUGUCCCCCAAAUGACAAGAGGCUUGAGGGGGAUGACAUGCCCUGAGAGGUGUGUGAUGUGUCACAGGCACGGCCACAGAUGACAGGGGUCAGCAGGAGGAAGCCUUGAAGUUAGAGCUGAUCCAGGGGCUUGAAGUGUGCAACAUAGGCAGAGGGAGGGAGAAGCCUGGAUGAUCAGACACAAAGAGAUAAAAGAAACCCAGAGACAGAGAGAUAGGGAGAGACAAAGAACAAUCACACAAAACAAAGAGAGAGGGAUAGAGAUGGAGAUGGGGAAGAGGUGCCGACCACACCCCGACUGGGAGAAAAGAGGCAAACCACUUCAGGUUCUGACUUCCCGGAGCCCUGAGGGUGUUUUCCUGGCCAGGGAGAGGUUGGCAGGGUGGGGGCUGCCCUGAAGCCUGUACUCCCUUUGCCUGGACCCUCUCUCCAUUCAGGCCAAAAAGUGCCUGGGCUUCUCUCUGGCCUGGUCUCUGCUUUUCUGCAGCACAGGGAAGCCAGAGCCGGAUGCCAGCCCCAUCCUCCCCCAUCUCCCAGCACCUGGGACAGGCAGGGGCUCCUCGCUGCUGCACUCCGUGUCUCCCGCUCCCGGAGCAGCCACGGCAGGUCCCAAGGGCCUGGAGACAACAAAUGACUCCCCGCUGACGGGUUGCUCGCCGCCUCCUGCCUGCCAGCCCGUUCUGCUGCACGCCGCACGCAGAUAAUCAUAGCGUGAACUCCACGAGGGCAGGACGUUUAGCUGCUCUGCGCACACGCAUCUCCCCGACAUAGGUGGCCUUGUGAGUGUCCAAUACAUACUCACGGAACGAACGCACGAAAGAACGGACAACUCUACUGUCGCCGUCAAGUGUUCUCCUACGUGUCCCCUCCUUUCCUUCCUGAAAAUGCUGUUAAUCGUGCAGUCCUGUACGUGGACCAGCGAGGGGCAGAUCAAGUGUGGAAAGCCAGGCGAGAGGGAAAGGACUCGUGGCCGACCUGGGGCCGAUGGAGUGACAUGUCCUGCGCUGUGAUAGGGACAACCUUUGGGCCAAUUCAGGGAUGUUGCAAAGAGGCAGGUUUUGGCUCUGCUCAAGGAAGAACUUCGCAACAAUUGCUGAUAUUUUAACCGUGAGGGAGGCAAUAAAGGAGUUCCCGUCCUGGAGGCCUGGAGCAGAAGGUGGACUUGCCGAGACGGCUGCAGCGGGGAGCUGGGCUCCAGGGGGUGUCAUCCUUGUUCUCUGGGGAUCCAUGAACCCUGAGAGGGGGGCUACCUAGAGGUGGGACUGCUCCCUUGGAGCCUGUCCCCCGGCUCGCAUGGCUACGUACCCGGCCCGAGAGGACUUGGGAGGCUGGAAAUGAGCAGUCUGUGCAGCCCUCUUACCUGCUAAAGGGCGGCUGACCACCUGCUGGAAGAUCUGUUGGCUUGGACUUUGAAGCAUGUGUGCCCCAGCUCAGUUGUUUGUCGAUGGUCCCUCUGGCAUCACUGGAACUUUCCUGGGAUGUGACUUGGGGCUCCUCCCCCCCUCUGUGGAUCUGGAUUCCAGUCUUCCCUGGCUGGACCUCCCUGCUCAGUUGCCUGGGUCGUUCCCAGGCAGCCUCCCCUGGAUGCGCAGGGACGGGGCCUGUCUUCCCUGUCUGCCCCAGGCUCCUGAGCCCUGGCCCACAGCCGUGCAGGAACAGGAGUGUGAUGGAUCAUUCCAGUGCCUCAGCUCGUAUGUUGCCAUCAUCAAAGGCCUCCCCUCCCCUUACAGUCUUCUCCCUUCACCAAUG